RNAcentral lists this long non-coding RNA (732 nucleotides) under Medicago truncatula (barrel medic). RNAcentral describes it as "long non-coding RNA (MTRU_LNC001602)". Lineage: Eukaryota; Viridiplantae; Streptophyta; Magnoliopsida; Fabales; Fabaceae. The record is from RNAcentral.
UAAUAGGCCUUUUAUCUUACAAGAUCCUUACAUUAUUUCCGUCCUUAAUUAAAUUUUAUGCAUCUUUUCAUUUGUUUCUUUUGCAAUUUAUGAAGCAUAUAGUCGUAUACUCGUAUUACUAUUAUGUAUUUCAUAAUGUGCAGAGCAGUAAAAAACUAUGAAGAAUCCAAAUUGGAGUCUCUUGCGGGUUAAAAAAUCAAUUCUCUAUCCAAGUGAGUCUACACAAUCACUACACAAGAUACUGAUACUUGUAAUAAUUUUAAAAAAUGGAAGUGGUUGAACGUAAACGUAUGUGUCAGUGCUAUGUCGAUGUUGCAUAUCGGACUUGCCUGCAAUCUGAAAUGUCUAUGAUGCAUAUAUAGUUAGCAAGUAUUUAAUUUAGAUCCUAAUUGCAUUUUUUUAAUGGAUCAAUAAGGGUACAACUUAAGCAAGCAUUUCCAAAUCUAAAUCUCUAAAAGCUGCAAAUAUUUUUGUUGUUGCAGAUCUGAUUUUGUUGAUGAUUCCAUGGUCCAACUGUAAGUUAGCAGGCAAGGUUCUGAUGGGAAGCCUAAAACACCGAAAUAAUGACGCCUGGUUAACACAUUCAAGAGUGCAUAAUAGGAAAUAUUUUUAAAAAAAAGGCAAUGGGAAAUAUGUCAAACUUUAUCGUACUUUCUCGUUAGAAUAGAAAUAUGUGAUACUUAUAGCAGACUUUUUACUAUGUUAGAGGUUGAAUUUGGUUUUCCUAAAAAU